Molecule: long non-coding RNA, 1488 nt
Organism: Morone saxatilis (striped sea-bass)
Lineage: Eukaryota; Metazoa; Chordata; Actinopteri; Moronidae
Exons: 3
Source: RefSeq, a predicted model, not a curated record
AGUAUGACAUUUCCCUUCAAAAUGUAUAGCAGAGUGGAAGUAUAAAUUAGCAUUAAAUGGAAGUACUAGUAAAGUACAAGUGGUGGAAAGUAUUUACUUAGUUUCCACCACUGCUCUGGGGAUUACUGUAUAUCAAGAUUAUAUAACAAUAAUUCUGUUUAUCUGUUUCAGACUCAACAGAGAAAGGAAGCGGACACCACAGACAGACUAUGGGGAGGACAUGGUUAUUUCUGGCUUUUUAGUUCUUUACUUUCUGUUAUAUUCUGACUUUUUCUGGCAUCCAUUAUAUUCAGUACGCUCUGUAUUACACUGUAUAACCCGAUGAGGUAGUUAAUCUAAAACUGUUCAAGGAAACUGAUUGUCCCAAAUUGUUUAAAUUUACUAACAAUUUAAGUCAAGUAUUUAUUCUUAAAGUAACUAGUAAAUAUAUUACACUCAUAUGCAGCAUUUCUUAAUUUCCUCUGGAUGAACUAAUCUAAUUGUUACUGUUAUUAUGAACUUUUCGACAAUAGACUACUUUUUUUUUAUGUGACCAACAUCAAAUCUUUACACUUUGGGGGGAUCAUUGAGAAUCAUUUAGAUGCAUUACAAACUGUAAUAAAAACAAAGAUAAAACAAAACCCUAAACUAUAUGGCAUCAUAGCAGUCAACAAACUGGGAUUACACCAAUAGUUAAGAUUCUGCACACAUUUUAGUGCACUCAAAACAUAAGAUUAUUUUUGAGUUAAUUCAUUGGAAUGAGUGACUCACAGUUUCACAGUGUACAACUAGGGCUGUCAGUUGAUCAGUGAUUGUCUGCAACUAAGAUAGGCAGGUGAAAGGCAAGCUGAACCCACAUCCGAAGACUCUGCUAAAUAACAAACACACGAUUGGUAUCAGAUAAGAGAACACAGAGGUUGUUUUUGUUGUGUGGGUAUUCACAGAGAACCUCUUCACAGAAAAGUAAAGACAGAUGUAAGAGGAGGAGAUAGUUCUACACUAAUUAAUCUUGUGUUAUUUCUUCAUGGUUGUGUUCAGCAUACAGACUAUGUCAACUGGCUCAGUUGUGAAAAUAUCCAGUCAGACGAGGGAAAUCGGUGUGUGGAAGGAACAACAGAAGUUGUCUAUGCAACUGUUGACUUCAACAACAAAAGAACAUCAAACACGGAGCAGCCGAGGAACUGCCAUGAUGACGAUGAAGAUGUGAUUUACAGCACAGUGUGGUGCAGGAAACAACCGUUGAACCCUUCAUAUAUGGAGCAUUACUGAUUUGACAAUAAACACGUGCCGUUUUGCAGAAACAGGUGUAUUGAUAGUCAUAAUGUUUUGAGGGUAUAUAUUGCUCUAUAUUUUACAUAUUUGUGAGAUGCGCUGCACCUGCAUUGCAGUAAAUAUUACAAAUAUUGCUGUUGCAAUGAUUCUGUUGGCUGUGAGUAUUAGAAUUCACAAAGAGUCUGUAGUAUAGAGUGUUUCAUUGUUCUCCUUGUGCCUGAUUCAAUAAAAAGGAAC